GAUGAACGCUAGCGGCAGGCCUAAUACAUGCAAGUCGAACGAUACCAGAGAGCUUGCUUUCUGGGAAAGUGGCGCACGGGUGCGUAACGCGUAUGCAACCUACCUUAAUCAGGGGGAUAGCCUCUCGAAAGAGAGAUUAACACCGCAUAAAAUCACACUUCGGCAUCGAAGAAUGAUCAAAUAUUUAUAGGAUUAAGAUGGGCAUGCGUGACAUUAGUUUGUUGGUGAGGUAACGGCUCACCAAGACUACGAUGUCUAGGGGAUCUGAGAGGAUGACCCCCCACACUGGUACUGAGACACGGACCAGACUCCUACGGGAGGCAGCAGUAAGGAAUAUUGGUCAAUGGGGGCAACCCUGAACCAGCCAUGCCGCGUGCAGGAAGACGGCCCUACGGGUUGUAAACUGCUUUUAACGGGAAUAAAUCUCGCUACGUGUAGUGAGUUGAAUGUACUGUAAGAAUAAGGAUCGGCUAACUCCGUGCCAGC
RNAcentral lists this ribosomal RNA (486 nucleotides) under uncultured bacterium. RNAcentral's name for it is "bacterial SSU rRNA". It matches the Rfam family "Bacterial small subunit ribosomal RNA", at positions 28 to 512 of the family's 1533-position model. The record is from RNAcentral.